GGGGGCAAACUCAAAUUAUUACAUGAAAAAGAAAAUUUUGGGGGACAGUGGGGCAAUCGUCUUCACUGCCCCCACCCUAGAUCUGUCCUGGUUAUAUAGAUAAUACUUGAGACUAGAUUACUGAUGGACUACACUGGAUUUAAAAUAUUUAUAGGUGGCUCUAACUGGAGGAUGGCCAUAUUCACUGGUUAUUGAGUCUUUCUAAUAUUUUCCCUUGUUAUGGUUUGUUAGAGACUACGGACAUGCCGAGAAU
This 253-nucleotide unclassified non-coding RNA is filed under the name Hevea brasiliensis (rubber tree). Lineage: Eukaryota; Viridiplantae; Streptophyta; Magnoliopsida; Malpighiales; Euphorbiaceae. The record is from RNAcentral.